CCGAGUUUACAACUCCCAAACCCCAUGUGAACCUCAUACCAGUCGUUGCUUCGGCGGUACCGCCCCGGCGCCCUCGGGCCCGGAAUCAGGCGCCCGCCGGAGGCCCGCAAACUCUCCGUGUAUACCGCCCCCCGGCGGUGGCAUUAUCUGAGUAAAAAAGAAAAAACGCAUCA
RNAcentral lists this unclassified non-coding RNA (173 nucleotides) under uncultured Trichoderma. RNAcentral's name for it is "sequence contains ITS1". The record is from RNAcentral. Lineage: Eukaryota; Fungi; Ascomycota; Sordariomycetes; Hypocreales; Hypocreaceae.